Molecule: long non-coding RNA, 523 nt
Filed under: Ananas comosus (pineapple)
Lineage: Eukaryota; Viridiplantae; Streptophyta; Magnoliopsida; Poales; Bromeliaceae
Description: long non-coding RNA (ACOM_LNC042484)
Source: RNAcentral
UUGUCAAUGGCUUAAUUUGUUAAAAUGGAAAAAAAAAACUAUGCGUUUUGUUUUUUGUUUUUUGUUUUUUUGGAGACAGGUAGCAUGCUAUCCGCUUCGUUUAUUUCAUUUGGAAAUAAAUUUAGCUGGAAAUGUGAAUCAACUAGGAUUCGAACUUGGGAUCUCGGGUACCAAAAUUAUGCGUUAUGUUAGUUUCACUUUUUGACUGCAAAACAUAAUUUGUGAAAAUAUUGAUGUAUAACCUAAUUUAAUUAACUAAAUACUAAUAUAAAGUUAAUCAAAAAUGACGUAGCAGCGCCAUAAUUGGUGAUGUGCCAAUAAUUAAGAUACUGCAUCAGCUCAUAUUAGUAAUGUGUCAAUAUUUACGCAGCUAAAUUAAGUCGUGAGACUUAAUUACAACAAUUUUAAAUGUUUGAGCCAGAAAUUAUUAUAAAUUAAAGUUUGAGAAUUAAAGUGUCACUCAUCUCAUUUAAGUAACCAUUUCGAAGAUUAUAAUUUACUAUUAAAAUUUUAUAGACUAAGC